CUAGCGACAGGCCUAACACAUGCAAGUCGAGGGGCAGCACAAGGAGCAAUCUGAGGUGGCGACCGGCGCACGGGUGAGUAACACGUAUGCAACCUGCCUGUAAGCGGGGAAUAACCCGUUGAAAGACGGACUAAUACCGCAUAAUACUAAAUUACUGCAUGGUAAUUAUUUAAACAUUUAUGGCUUACAGAUGGGCAUGCGCAUGAUUAGCUAGUUGGAGAGGUAACGGCUCCCCAAGGCAACGAUCAUUAGGGGUUCUGAGAGGAAGGUCCCCCACACUGGUACUGAGACACGGACCAGACUCCUACGGGAGGCAGCAGUGAGGAAUAUUGGUCAAUGGACGAGAGUCUGAACCAGCCAAGUCGCGUGCAGGAAGAAUGUCCUAAUGGAUUGUAAACUGCUUUUGCAGAGGAAUAAAGUGCAUCACGUGUGAUGUUUUGUAUGUACUCUGCGAAUAAGGAUCGGCUAACUCCGUGCCAGCCGCCGC
RNAcentral lists this ribosomal RNA (487 nucleotides) under uncultured bacterium. RNAcentral's name for it is "bacterial SSU rRNA". It matches the Rfam family "Bacterial small subunit ribosomal RNA", at positions 36 to 518 of the family's 1533-position model. The record is from RNAcentral.